AACUUUCAACAACGGAUCUCUUGGUUCUGGCAACGAUGAAGAACGCAGCGAAAUGCGAUAAGUAAUGUGAAUUGCAGAAUUCAGUGAAUCAUCGAAUCAUUGAACGCACAUUGCGCCCCCUGGUAUUCCGGGGGGCACACCUGUUCGAGCGCCAUUUCUACCCUGGA
RNAcentral lists this ribosomal RNA (167 nucleotides) under Venturia oleaginea. RNAcentral's name for it is "5.8S ribosomal RNA". It matches the Rfam family "5.8S ribosomal RNA". Rfam says of the family: 5.8S ribosomal RNA (5.8S rRNA) is a component of the large subunit of the eukaryotic ribosome. It is transcribed by RNA polymerase I as part of the 45S precursor that also contains 18S and 28S rRNA. Functionally, it is thought that 5.8S rRNA may be involved in ribosome translocation. The record is from RNAcentral. Lineage: Eukaryota; Fungi; Ascomycota; Dothideomycetes; Venturiales; Venturiaceae.